CAUUAAGAAACUUUAAAUGAAGUAAAAGUCUCUUAAACUUAUAAUGGUUAUUAUAAUUAACCCUUAAUGA
RNAcentral lists this transfer RNA (70 nucleotides) under Parapolybia nodosa. RNAcentral's name for it is "tRNA-Lys". The record is from RNAcentral. Lineage: Eukaryota; Metazoa; Arthropoda; Insecta; Hymenoptera; Vespidae.